GACGAACGCUGGCGGCGCGCUUAACACAUGCAAGUCGAGCGAUGAAAUUUCGACAGAUCCCUUCGGGGUGAAGAUGAAAUGGAUUAGCGGCGGACGGGUGAGUAACACGUGAGUAACCUGCCUUUGACAUUGGGAUAGCCUCGGGAAACUGGGAUUAAUACCAAAUGACACUAACUGAUCACAUGAUCAAUUAGUCAAAGAAAUUCGGUCAAAGAUGGACUCGCGGCUGAUUAGCUAGUUGGUGAGGUAACGGCCCACCAAGGCGACGAUCAGUAGCCGGCCUGAGAGGGUGAUCGGCCACAUUGGAACUGAGACACGGUCCAAACUCCUACGGGAGGCAGCAGUGGGGAAUAUUGCACAAUGGGGGAAACCCUGAUGCAGCGACGCCGCGUGAGCGAAGAAGGCCUUCGGGUCGUAAAGCUCUUUUAGGAGGGAAGAUAAUGAAGGUACCUCAAGAAAAAGCCCCGGCUAACUACGU
RNAcentral lists this ribosomal RNA (478 nucleotides) under uncultured bacterium. RNAcentral describes it as "partial 16S ribosomal RNA". It matches the Rfam family "Bacterial small subunit ribosomal RNA", at positions 28 to 506 of the family's 1533-position model. The record is from RNAcentral.